UGGGGAAUAUUGCACAAUGGGGGAAACCCUGAUGCAGCGACGCCGCGUGAGCGAAGAAGGGAUUCGUCUCGUAAAGCUCUGUCCUAUGGGAAGAUAAUGACGGUACCAUAGAAGAAAGCCCCGGCUAACUACGUGCCAGCAGCCGCGGUAAUACGUAGGGGGCGAGCGUUGUCCGGAAUCAUUGGGCGUAAAGGGUUCGUAGGCGGUAAUGCGUGUCAGAUGUGAAAUCUUGUGGCUUAACCACAUUAAGCAUCUGAAACUGCAUAACUUGAGUGAAGGAGAGGUAAGUGGAAUUCCUAGUGUAGCGGUGAAAUGCGUAGAUAUUAGGAGGAAUACCAGUAGCGAAGGCGACUUACUGGCCUUUAACUGACGCUGAGGAACGAAAGCGUGGGUAGCAAAC
Molecule: ribosomal RNA, 400 nt
Filed under: uncultured bacterium
Lineage: Bacteria
Description: bacterial SSU rRNA
Rfam family: Bacterial small subunit ribosomal RNA
Source: RNAcentral